Molecule: RNA transcript, 618 nt
Organism: Rhinopithecus roxellana (golden snub-nosed monkey)
Lineage: Eukaryota; Metazoa; Chordata; Mammalia; Primates; Cercopithecidae
Gene name: high mobility group protein B3 pseudogene
Exons: 1
Source: RefSeq, a predicted model, not a curated record
GCGAACAAUACAGUCAGGAUGGCUAAAGGUGACCCCAAGAAACCAAAGGGCAAGAUGUCUGCUUAUGCCUUCUUUGUGCAGACAUGCAGAGAAGAACAUAAGAAGAAAAACCCAGAGGUCCCUGUCCAUUUUGCAGAAUUUUCCAAGAAGUGCUCUGAGAGGUGGAAGACGAUGCCCAGGAAAGAGAAAUCUAAAUUUGAUGAAAUGGCAAAGGCAGAUAAAGUGCGCUAUGGUCGGGAAAUGCAGGAUUACAGACCAGCUAAGGGAGGCAAGAAGAAGAAGCAUCCUAAUGCUCCCAAAAGACCACCGUCUGGACUCUUCCUAUUCUAUUCAGAAUUCAGUCCCAAGAUCAAAUCCACAAACCCCGGCAUCUCUAUUGGAGACGUGGCCAAAAACCUGGGUGAGAUGUGGAAUAAUUUAAAUGACAGUGAAAAGCAGCCUUACAACCCUAAGGCAGCAAAGCUGAAGGAGAAUUAUGAGAAGGAUGUUGCUGACUACAAGUCAAAAGGAAAGUUUGAUGGUGCAAAGGGUCCUGCUAAAGUUGCCCGGAAAAAGGUGGAAGAGGAAGAUGAAGAAGAGGAGGAGGAAGAAGAAGAGGAGGAGGAGGAGGAUGAAUAA